This is an RNA transcript of Cavia porcellus (domestic guinea pig), 2123 nucleotides long. It is a transcript of the gene named ankyrin repeat domain 54, with no coding region annotated. The record is from RefSeq and is a predicted model, not a curated record. Lineage: Eukaryota; Metazoa; Chordata; Mammalia; Rodentia; Caviidae. The transcript is spliced from 9 exons.
GGUCCUGACGCUCCAGCUAGCUCCACGAGCUCGCCCCUCGCUCUGUUGCCGUGGUUGCAGGCCCGGCCCGCCCGCUUGCUCGUUGACUGCUUGACUUAGAGCGAAGGAAAGUGGAUCCGUUGGUCUGUCGGGAACGAGGCUCCGGCGGCCUGGCCCACGCGGAGACGUUGCCAUGGCAGCCGCCGCCGGGGGCGCGGACGAGGAGCCGCGUUCCGGCCGCUCGAGCUCGGACGGCGAGUGCGCAGUGGCGCCCGAGCGGCUGACGGAAGCCGAGGGCCUCUUCUCCUUCGCCGACUUCGGGUCCGCGUUGAGUGGCGCCGCUGGCCUCUCGGGCCGGGCGUCCGGAGGGGCCCAGUCGCCGCUGCGCUACCUGCACGUCCUGUGGCAGCAGGACGCCGAGCCGCGCGACGAGCUGCGCUGCAAGAUCCCCGCCGGGCGACUGAGACGAGCGGCCAGGCCCCACCGCCGGCUCGGGCCCACGGGCAAGGAUGUGCACGCUCUGAAGAGGCUGAGGGACUCGGCUAAUGCCAACGACGUAGAAACAGUGCAGCAGCUGCUGGACGAUGGCGUGGACCCCUGCGCAGCGGAUGACAAGGGCCGCACCGCCCUCCACUUCGCCUCCUGCAAUGGCAACGACCAGAUUGACAGUGAGCCAUGUGUGUCUGCAUGCCUGAGCCACCCGGGUCAACAUGGACGCUUUCCCGAUGCCCUCGCCGCUGUCUCUCUGUGGAGCUUGUUCCCCGUGGACCAGGAUGCUUGCUUUGCAGUUGCUCCUGGACCACGGCGCCGACCCCAACCAGCGCGACGGGCUGGGGAACACACCGCUGCACCUGGCGGCCUGCACCAACCACGUCCCUGUCAUCACCACGCUGCUUCGAGGAGGAGCCCGUGUGGAUGCCCUGGAUCGAGCAGGCCGCACGCCCCUACACCUGGCCAAGUCCAAGCUGAACAUCCUGCAGGAGGGCCACUCCCAGUGCCUGGAGGCCGUGCGGCUAGAGGUGAAGCAGAUCAUCCACAUGCUGCGGGAGUACCUGGAGCGCCUGGGGCGGCACGAGCAGCGUGAGCGGCUGGACGACCUCUGCAGCCGCCUCCAGAUGACCAGCACCAAGGAGCAGGUAGAUGAAGUGACCGACCUGCUGGCCAGUUUCACCUCCCUCAGUCUGCAGAUGCAGAGCAUGGAGAAGAGGUAGCGGGCAGCUGUCCCUGCCCUGCUGGUCAGCACUGCCCUGCCCUCUGCGCCUCAGCCCGAAGGAAAAGCCCGGCAUCAGAGACUGUGGGGAACACUUAGCUCGGAUGCCGGGGAGCAGAAAUGUACUCUCCAUGACUGCAGAGUCACUCCCACCACUGUCUCUGUCCUCUCUGUGGGCCUGGAGGGACCAGGCGAGCCUCUGCAGCUGCUCCUCAGCUGUGACCCACACGCUGGCUCAGCGGCCUCAUGGUCACAGGCCUUCUCUGUGUUCCUCCUGGCCAUGAGCUGGCUGCCCGGAGCUGGCUUAGGGAGGGCGCCCCCGGUCCAGGGGCAGCCCUGGCUCUGUCACCCAGCUAAAGGUGACACUUCACUGAGUUUCUGUGGUUACAAGAGGCUUGGGGACACUCAGAACUUAUCAGGGUUAGGAAUGACCCUGCUAAGGCGGAAGCAGGAAGUCACCAGCCCUUUCCUCCCAGCUGCAGGAGCGCCAGGAGGGUGGCGCCAUCUUGCGGCUCUCACUGUCUUAGGCUGGGCCGGCAUGAGCCCUGGUCCUCCUCCCAGGAACCUGUGACCCUUACUGUGUGACAGAGAGGCUCACGGAUAUGACAGGAUCCUGUGGCAGAUGUCCCUGAAUUACGUAGAUGGGCUGGAUCCGAGCACAGGGAGCUUUGUAAGAGGAAAGCCGGGGCUGAGGGAGGAGGGAGGAGGUGCGCAGGUGGAAGCAGGAAGCUGCGGGAGGAACAGGAAGCCGAGGAAGAGGCCUAGAGCCGAGGAGUGCAGGCUGCCCACCUCCGGGAGCCAGAACCACGGAAGGGCUGCUCUGGGAACUUCAGGAAGCACUGACGCUGUCGCCUGCCCGGACUUGAGCUUGGUGAGACCCAUUUCCACUGCAAGUCCACGGAGCUGUCAGAAUAAAUCUGCAGAAUGACCGCCA